Molecule: ribosomal RNA, 254 nt
Filed under: uncultured bacterium
Lineage: Bacteria
Description: partial 16S ribosomal RNA
Rfam family: Bacterial small subunit ribosomal RNA
Source: RNAcentral
UACGGGGGGAGCAAGCGUUGUUCGGAUUUACUGGGCGUAAAGGGCGCGUAGGCGGUCAGCACAAGUCAGUUGUGAAAUCUCCGAGCUUAACUCGGAACGGUCAGAUGAUACUGCUUUGCUAGAGUGCAGAAGGGGCAAUCGGAAUUCUUGGUGUAGCGGUGAAAUGCGUAGAUAUCAAGAGGAACACCUGAGGUGAAGACGGGUUGCUGGGCUGACACUGACGCUGAGGCGCGAAAGCCAGGGGAGCAAACGGG